RNAcentral lists this ribosomal RNA (479 nucleotides) under Diopatra sp. 2 NB-2014. Its description in RNAcentral is "partial 16S ribosomal RNA". It matches the Rfam family "Bacterial large subunit ribosomal RNA", at positions 1816 to 2594 of the family's 2925-position model. The record is from RNAcentral. Lineage: Eukaryota; Metazoa; Annelida; Polychaeta; Eunicida; Onuphidae.
AGCCUAUUGAUCUCCCCAUAAUAGGUAUAUCCUGCCCAGUGAUAAUUUCAACGGCCGCGGUAUCCUGACCGUGCAAAGGUAGCAUAAUCAUUUGUCUCUUAAUUAGUGACUUGUAUGAAUGGAUAAACGAGUAUCAAGCUGUCUCCUUUAUUUAAAUAUAAAUUAAUCUUCAGGUGAAGAAGCCUGAAUCCUAUUAAAAGACAAGAAGACCCUGUCGAGCUUUAUUUCAUAGUAAACAAAAAACUUUACCAAAAAUUUAGUUGGGGCGACAAAGGAAUAAAUAAAUCUUCCUCAAUAUAUUAGAUCUCAAAUCUAAUAAAUGAUCCAAUAAUUGAUUAAAGAAAACAGCUACCGCAGGGAUAACAGUCUAAUUCUCCUCAAGAGCUCACAUCUAAAGGAGAGAUUGGCACCUCGAUGUUGGCUUAGGAAAUCUUCUAAACGCANCCGUUUCUAUAGAAGGUUUGUUCAACCUUUAAAUU